UCAGCAGCUCUCAUUGCACCAUCCCAGCCUCUGUUCUUCCGGCAUCCCUCCACCUCCCCUUCUCCUCCUCUGUUUCUGUUAUUCUCCCUCUAGAUAAUAUCGCAACGGGGGGGUCGAACUCUGCGCUCAAGCCGAGCCUCAGGUUCGAGCCUCCAUUAAGGACAGCAAGCCAAGUUUGUUUACCAUUGCCCAUAAGGACUGGAUGGGCAGGCGAACUUGUGAAUCCUGUAGUGAAAACAAGUUGCAAUAGUCACAUGACAUUUACAGCUGGAAGCUGAAAGUGAGUCGGCAGCAGAACCGAACGCCCAUGAGCAGAGAUGGCAGACUUUAUCUAAUGUUCUUCAGCAGCUGCCAUUGAGAGUAAUGUGAAUGCUGGUGGUCAGAUCUCUACAGAACAUGACGUUGUUGUAAAUUUCACAACGACGGUGCAACACUGACACCCGGCGGGCAAUAGAUGUAUUUCACACACGCUUCAUCCCUGUUAUCCACAUUUUCAUCAUCUCACCAGAUAUUGCUGUGCUGUUUAUGAGGAACAAUACACCAAAUAUGAAGCAUAAUGACUCAUUGAGCUCUCCAGGGAUUCAAUGAACUCAUCUGUGAAUGUUUAGAGACUAUGAAUGAUUGAGACGCACAAAAUCAAAGCUGUUUUUGUCAGUAUGUGAUGAAAUGCUCAAGGCGGAUGAUGAAAAUACUAAAAUAACACUUAAAUCUCCUUUUCAUUCCUAGGAAUCGUAUUAAUUUGAGGCUCAUCGAGUGUCUGCAGGGUAUUUCAGCAUGUUUAGUCUCACAUAUAAACUGUCAGAUGAGAAAAAAUGUAUUAAUUAAAUAGUUUUGUGCUUAAACAUUAACUGUAGGAGUAUGACUCGGCAAGAAGGAAUUGCCACACAGAGUCCUAGGAAGUUACUUAUUGACUUUGAAUUGCUUUUUACUUUGUCUAUUCUUGUGUUUUUAUUAUUAGGGCCCGAGCCCUGAAAGGGCGAGAGCCCUAUUGUUUUUCGAAGGAUUCUUCUUCUUCUUCUUAUUUAUUUAUUUAUUUAUUUAUUUUUUUUUUUUCAAGGUUUUGGGGGGUUUUGGGGCCCUUAACAUGCUCAAAAACUCUUGAAAAUUGGCACACAGCUUGGAAUCUGCGGCCAUUAGGACGCCCCAGAGGCUGGGACCCGGGCGUGGUACAGGGGCUCUACUACUUUUUAAAUCUUGAUGUAUAUCCCGCACAUACUUGCACAUAUACAUAUGAAACUCGGUACACAUAUAGAUCUCACUGAGCCGAACAACUCACGCACUCUGUGUCAUGAGCUAAUCCCAACAGGAAGUGAGCUAUUCAGGGCUGUUUAAAAAGUGCAUGCUCUGGAAUUUGAUAUACUAAUCCUAGGUUUUUUACCCAACUGCCACCAAACUCGGUCAACCUGAUCUGAAGACAUUGGGGAUGAAAAAUUGUGAGGGGAUUCUUGAUAUCUCGAACGGUUUGGCCGUGGCGAGGCGUUGAAAUUAUGGCGAGAAAUGAGAAACAGGAAAUGGCUAAUAACUACUGCACACAUUGUCUGAUUUGGAUGAAACGUCAGAGGUUUGUUCAUUGUAUGAUGUCGAUCACAUAGAUGUGACUAUUAGGAGUCACAGUUAUAGCGCCACCAACUGGCAACAGGAAGUGUGUCUCUUUUAAAAAUGCUUUGAUAUCACAUGGUUAAUUUUACCCGAUUUGCUUCAGACUUCAUCAGAAUAAUGUCAAAACAAGGUCGAUCAGAAUCUGUAAAGGGGUCGUUGAUACAUUAAAUGUUGUUGUCAUGGCAACGUGUCAAACUUUAACAUUUGUUUCCUGUGUUUUUGGGGCACUUAAUAAGGUUGGAUUUUCAUGAAACUCAACACACACAUCAGUAUUAAUGACAGUUAGACACUGGCAAAAGGUCAUAAAUGGGCGUGGAGGAGGCGCUCUAUAGCGCCACCUUUUGUCAAAAGUGGGGUGGUUAGUUUUAGCUACAGACACCAAACUCGGUAUGUAUAUUGGUCUCAUCAAGCCGGACAACUUUCUAAUUUACAUCCAUUAGCUGCGACCAACAGGAAGUCUGCUAUUUUGAUUUAAAUGUGGAUUUUUGUAAAAAUCAGGCUAUAAAUAAAUUCAUACUCCUCCAAGCAGGAAUAAGUAGGUCACACCAAACUUUGUCAACAUGAUGCCAACAUACUGAAGAUGUUAAAUUGUGAGCAGAUUUGGGAUAUCUUGAACGGCUGAUUUAUGGUGAUUUAUUAAAGUAGCAGUAAAAAACAUAUCCAUAAUCUUUAAAAUGCAGCAUCCAAACACUUCAAAACUUUUUACAUACAUAGAACUAGUCAUUCUGAGAAAUAAAUGCUUACUUCCAUCGAUAUAAAAUAAUCAACAAAAAAUAGACAAUUAAAAAACUAUUAAACAUCUGCUCUCACUCUAACUCUCUCACUCUAACUCUGUGUCGGGGGAAGGGAUUAAGUCUGUGUAUGUGUGUGUGUAAGUGUGACUGGGGGUUGUUGAGUGGCUGUGUGUGUAUGUGUGUGUGUGUGUGUGUGAGAGAGAGAGACUGAGAGAGACAGAGUGCAUUUAAAGUGCAUUAUCCUAACUCUUCACAACUUUUUACAUAUGAAAAACAAGUCAUUCUUAGGAAAUGUGUUUAUCAUGUUUUCAGAGACUGCAAAAACAUUUGAAAUA
Molecule: long non-coding RNA, 2668 nt
Organism: Labeo rohita (rohu)
Lineage: Eukaryota; Metazoa; Chordata; Actinopteri; Cypriniformes; Cyprinidae
Exons: 3
Source: RefSeq, a predicted model, not a curated record